UGGAUAAGACAUGCAAGUCGAGCGCUGAUUUGAAGGUAGCAAUAUUUUCAAGUCGGAGCGGCGCAAGGGUGCGUAACACGUGGGAAUCUGCCUUGAAGUGUGGGAUAACUCGUCGAAAGACGAGCUAAUACCGCAUGUGAUCGUAAGAUCAAAGUUGGGGAUCGUAAGACCUGACGCUUUAAGAUGAGCCCGCGGCCUAUCAGCUAGUUGGUGAGGUAAAAGCUCACCAAGGCUAAGACGGGUAGCUGGUCUGAGAGGACGACCAGUCACACUGGAACUGAGACACGGUCCAGACACCUACGGGUGGCAGCAGUCGAGAAUUUUUCUCAAUGGGCGAAAGCCUGAAGGAGCGACGCCGCGUGGGGGAUGAAUGGCUUCGGCCCGUAAACCCCUGUCAUUUGUGAACAAGUUGAUUCACCUAAUACGUGAAGCAUUGAUAGUAACAGAAGAGGAAGGGACGGCUAACUCUGUGCCAGCAGCCGCGGUAAUACAGAGGUCCCAAGCGUUGUUCGGAUUUACUGGGCGUAAAGGGUGCGCAGGCGGUUGGAUAAGUUUGAUGUGAAAUCUCCGGGCCUAACCCGGAAACUGCGUUGGAUACUGUCCAGCUAGAGGAAUGGAGGGGAGACUGGAAUACUUGGUGUAGCAGUG
This 648-nucleotide ribosomal RNA is filed under the name uncultured bacterium. Its description in RNAcentral is "bacterial SSU rRNA". It matches the Rfam family "Bacterial small subunit ribosomal RNA", at positions 45 to 683 of the family's 1533-position model. The record is from RNAcentral.